AGCUAUCGCGGCGGCGGCGGCGGCGGCGGCGGCGGCGGUUGAACUGACUCGGAGCCAGGAGACCCGAGCGAGCAGACGCUGGCGCCCGCCCCGCGCACUCACCAUGGCGGGUUCACCUGGGCUGGAGAGAACGACAGCUUGCACGACUCGUUCGUCUUUGAAGAAGUCAUAUCAUUUUCUUCAUCCCAUGAAGAAUGUCAUAGAAUUUAAGAUACAGGAAGCUCAGCCUGGGCAACAUAGCUAGACCCCGUCUCUACAAAAAUUAGCCACAAGUGGUGGCAGGCGCCUGUAAUCCCAGCUACUCGGAGGCUGAGGCAGGAUGAGGAGGAUUGCUCGAGCCCAGAAGUUCCAGGCUGCAGUGAGCCAUGACCUUCGGCCUGGGCAACAGAACAAGACGUCCUCAAACAAACAAAACAAAAAACAAAAAAGAUAUAGGAAGUGUAUGUAGGCCAUUUAGUGAAAUGAUCAGCCGUCCUUUAAAAAGGGAAAUAGAUGGAAAGCACUUGCAAAAGUUCCCCAGCCAGUCAGCCUAGCAACUGGGACCUUCAUCUCCUUCCCAACCCUUGUUUACAAAUAAGGACGCUUUUCUCAAAGUGUAAGUAACCCCAAAUGAAGAAAUAUAGAAGAAAACAAGUUCCAGGGAUUGCUCCCUCCUUCACCACAGCCCCACCCUGAAAAAAGCACAAAUCAGUUAAACUGUCAGAGGCCAAGAUUCAUCCCAAGUAGGAAAACAAGAUUGGGGCCCUGCCCCUUGCCUAUCUGACCACAAAGCCCUUU
This 777-nucleotide small RNA is filed under the name Pan troglodytes (chimpanzee). Its description in RNAcentral is "processed transcript". The record is from RNAcentral. Lineage: Eukaryota; Metazoa; Chordata; Mammalia; Primates; Hominidae.